This is a long non-coding RNA of Saccostrea cuccullata (small rock oyster), 193 nucleotides long. RefSeq lists it as uncharacterized. NCBI's taxonomy places the organism in Eukaryota, Metazoa, Mollusca, Bivalvia, Ostreida, Ostreidae. The transcript is spliced from 2 exons. The record is from RefSeq and is a predicted model, not a curated record.
AAUUUAAUUUGCAUAUAGAUCAACGUGGUAGCAAUGAAUAAUGAUGUAAAAUAUACUGUUUUACAGGUUUCAACAUUGCAUACAGACGACAGAGAAAAAGUAAGAUAGGUCCACAGCACAAGAUUUCAAAAGAGGAAGCCAUGAAAUGGUUUCAGCAGAAGUAUGAUGGUAUCAUUCUUCCUGGAAAGUAAAA